This 326-nucleotide long non-coding RNA is filed under the name Homo sapiens (human). RNAcentral's name for it is "non-protein coding lnc-ONECUT1-3:1". Lineage: Eukaryota; Metazoa; Chordata; Mammalia; Primates; Hominidae. The record is from RNAcentral.
CUCUGAUUUCCUGGAGCAGUGGUUUGUAGUGCUUAUAGUAGUUUCUGAUGGCUGUUUAUAUUUCUAUGAGGUCUGUGAUAAUCUCUCCUUUAUCAAUUUUUAUUGUGUCUAUUUAAUUCUUCUCUCUUUUCUUAUUUUUUAGUAUAGCUAGCAGUCUAUCUAUUUCAUUAUUUUUUUCAAAAAACAGCUCCUGGAUUCAUUGAUUCUUUUUUAAAAGUUGAUGGUUAUUUCUUGACUUCUGCUGGCUUUGAGGUUUGUUUGCUCUUGUUUCCCUGAUCCAUUCUGUAGGAUGUGCUCUCUCCCCACACCAACCUUCAUGCUUCUUU